RNAcentral lists this non-coding RNA (25 nucleotides) under Cricetulus griseus (Chinese hamster). The record is from RNAcentral. Lineage: Eukaryota; Metazoa; Chordata; Mammalia; Rodentia; Cricetidae.
UAAUCUGAUCUUUUUGAACUUUCAG